CUCAUACAACUGAUAUCCCCUAGACACAAACCCAUCUAUCUAUAUAACUACGUCGAAAACCCAAACUCAAAUUGUAAUGCCCCCUAAAAUGAAAGAGGUCAUAAUAUUGUAUCUAUGUACAUUAGUUGCCAUUGUAGGUAAACAACGCAUCUAAACUAUCUAACCGUUUACAAAAUACUCAGAACUACCGUUUCAAAACUUUUCAGUUUACCACCAUUUCAGCCUUAAUCGAUUCCCUCCAUUGAAACCACUGAUUCUCCAACAUUAGAUUCCCCCAAAUCCUCUAAUGUCGUUCAAAAUCUGGGUUCGCAGGCACAUUCCUUUUAUCAGCCCAGUUGUAAAGAGAAUACGAGAAUGACCGAAGCAUUCGAUUUCGGAACAUUCGACAGGAUCAUAUACAACAGAACCUGUUAUCAGGUUAUCAAAAAAAGCAAAAAUAAAACCAGGUUUACAAAAAAACAAAAAUCAAACCCAUCUAUUUUCGUGUAGGUAAACUAAUACCCAGAUACCCAGGUUUGCUCUGGUUUUGCUCUAGUUUGUAUGUUGUAAGCCCAUAACCAGGUUUUAAAAAACCAAAAAUCAAACCCAUCUUUUUCGUGUAGGUAAACUAAUACCCAGAUACCCAAUUCUGCUCUGGUUUUGCUCUGGUUAGGACUAACAAUGAACGGGGCUCCAUGUACAUAGAAGAGAAAGACGUUUUUUACCUGCAAUUUGACGGCAGACCACUCACGCUUGCUAGUCAAUGUCGAAUGCUCUGGAAUUUUCAAAUGGAAUUUCAAUACCUGGAAUUUCUUGAACUGCAACAGAAGAAACCCCUCAACCAAAUUUCCAUCUUUAGGAACCCUAAUCAGAACACCAAUCUCCAAACUAAAACCAUAAUCAAAACGUAGGACUAAGAAAAUUAACCCCAUAAUCAAAAUGGAUAAUUAAUUGCAG
This 936-nucleotide long non-coding RNA is filed under the name Prunus dulcis (almond). Its description in RNAcentral is "sRNA ncRNA". The record is from RNAcentral. Lineage: Eukaryota; Viridiplantae; Streptophyta; Magnoliopsida; Rosales; Rosaceae.